AGAAUCAACGCUGGCGGCGUGCCUAACACAUGCAAGUCGAACGAGAAAGUGGAGCAAUCCACGAGUAAAGUGGCGCACGGGUGAGUAACACGUGACUAACCUACCCUUGAGUGGGGGAUAACCUAGGGAAACCUGGGCUAAUACCGCAUAAUACCUUCGGGUCAAAGGAGCAAUUCGCUUAAGGAGGGGGUCGCGGCCGAUUAGUUAGUUGGCGGGGUAAUGGCCCACCAAGACUAUGAUCGGUAUCCGGCCUGAGAGGGCGCACGGACACACUGGAGCUGAAACACGGUCCAGACUCCUACGGGAGGCAGCAGUGGGGAAUUUGCGCAAUGGGGGAAACCUGACGCAGCAACGCCGCGUGGAGGAUGAAGUCCCUUGGGACGUAAACUCCUUUCGAUCGGGACGAUAAUGACGGUACCGAGAGAAGAAGCCCCGGACUAACUCGCGCCAGCAGCCGC
This 458-nucleotide ribosomal RNA is filed under the name uncultured bacterium. RNAcentral's name for it is "SSU rRNA". It matches the Rfam family "Bacterial small subunit ribosomal RNA", at positions 26 to 518 of the family's 1533-position model. The record is from RNAcentral.